This 456-nucleotide long non-coding RNA is filed under the name Physcomitrium patens. Its description in RNAcentral is "long non-coding RNA (PPAT_LNC010233)". Lineage: Eukaryota; Viridiplantae; Streptophyta; Bryopsida; Funariales; Funariaceae. The record is from RNAcentral.
UUUAGGAUUUGAUUAGAAUUUGACUAAUGUUUAUUUAGAGUUUGGUUAGGAUUUGAGUAGGAUUUAUUUAAGAUUUGGUUAAGAUUUGUUUAGGAUUUGAAUAGGAUUUGGUUAAGAUUUUUUUAGGAUUUGUUUAAGAUUUGAUUAGGAUUUGGUUAGGGUUUGGUUAAGAUUUGAUUAAAAUUUGAUUAGGAUUUUUUAGGAUUUUAUUAGGAUUUAUUUAGAAUUUAGUUAAGAUUUGUUUAGGAUUUGUUUAGAGUUUGACUAGGAUUUGGUUAAGAUUUGUUUAGGAUUUGGUUAGGAUUUGAUAAGGAUUUGAUUAAAGUUUUUUUAAGAUUUGAUUAGGAUUUGAUUAAUAUUUUUUAAGAUUUGACUAUGAUUUAUUUAAGGUUUGGUUAAGAUUUGAUUAGGAUUUGAUUAGAAUUUAAUUAAGAUUUCUAUUUUAAUAUUUUAUUA